This 305-nucleotide ribosomal RNA is filed under the name uncultured bacterium. RNAcentral describes it as "bacterial SSU rRNA". It matches the Rfam family "Bacterial small subunit ribosomal RNA", at positions 334 to 636 of the family's 1533-position model. The record is from RNAcentral.
UUUACCUACGGGACGCAGCAGUGAGGAAUAUUGGUCAAUGGGAGAGAUCCUGAACCAGCCAAGCCGCGUGAGGGAAGACGGCCCUAUGGGUUGUAAACCUCUUUUGUCGGAGAACAAAACCCGGGACGUGUCCCGGACUGCGUGUAUCCGAAGAAAAAGCAUCGGCUAACUCCGUGCCAGCAGCCGCGGUAAUACGUAGGGGGCAAGCGUUAUCCGGAUUUACUGGGUGUAAAGGGGGCGCAGACGGCGAUGCAAGCCAGGAGUGAAAGCCCGGGGCCCAACCCCGGGACUGCUCUUGGAACUGC